Molecule: non-coding RNA, 201 nt
Organism: Oryza nivara
Lineage: Eukaryota; Viridiplantae; Streptophyta; Magnoliopsida; Poales; Poaceae
Source: Rfam
UUUAACGUCGUUGAUUUUUUUAAACAUGUUUGACCGUUCGUCUUAUUCAAAAAAUUUAAGCAAUUAUUAAUUCUUUUCCUACCAUUUGAUUCAUUGCUAAAUAUACUUUUAUGUAUACAUAUAGCUUUACAUAUUUCACAAAAGUUUUUGAAUAAGACGAACGGUCAAACAUGUUUAAAAAAGUCAACGGCGUCAAACAUU